Molecule: long non-coding RNA, 798 nt
Organism: Salvator merianae (Argentine black and white tegu)
Lineage: Eukaryota; Metazoa; Chordata; Lepidosauria; Squamata; Teiidae
Source: Ensembl
GAUAAGACAGUUCCAAUUCCUGAAAAACUCAACGAAUGGGCGCCCCAGCCACCUCCAGAAUUUGUCAGAGAUGUUAUGGGCCCCAAAGCACCGAUAGCUCUUGGGCUGACGCUUGAGGCUNAAGCAGCGCAGGACUCCUUUUCAAGGUGACAUCCACCUGCAGUGUCUGGGAAGCCAGUGAGUCUAACUGAAAGAAGAGUAAAACUGAGCAGAAAAAUGAGCAUACAGGUGCCGAUUCUGACCAUUCUUCAAAACGGCAGGCUAGCGAAGAGGACGAUGACGGUGCCUCUGAGGAGGAGAAGGAUGANGCAGAAGAGCCCAGCUUUAUCAUGGAGAGAUGAUGGAGUAAGUUUGUGGCCGGUGUCCAUGUGUCCUUUUGCUGCCAAGGAGCCUGGAACCUGUGUCGAGCAGGGUCCUUUUUGCUGCUUUGGACCUUCAUCCUGGCAGAGUGUGGCCAUAGCCAUAUGGGUCAGGGCCGGAGCCAAGUCGGAGAAGAGUUUCUUUUCUCCUUGCUGCUACUGGGGUUCUGGGGAAAAAAGAAUGCCACGGUGCCCAUCUUGUUCUUCCUACCAUUGCUCCGAGGUGGUGUUUNCUCCCUGAAAGCUAAUGCUUUAGCCAUCUGUGUUUUUAAGCAGAUUCUUUUUCCCUGAGAGACUCGGGGAAAUACGGAAAUAGCUGUACGUGAAAGANGCUGGUUNGCCAAGNGUCCAGAGAGUUUCUGCUAAACAAAUCUUUACCAACAGUGAAUAUUUUUNUNNNNUUUNNNNANANANAANANAAAANAGANNNNNANNNUNU